UCAUUCGGAUUGUAGUCUGCAACUCGACUACAUGAAGCUGGAAUCGCUAGUAAUCGCGAAUCAGAAUGUCGCGGUGAAUACGUUCCCGGGUCUUGUACACACCGCCCGUCACACCAUGGGAGUCGGGAAUGCCCGAAGUCAGUGACCCAACCGGAAGGAGGGAGCUGCCGAAGGCAGGCUCGAUAACUGGGGUGAAGUCGUAACAAGGUAUC
This 212-nucleotide ribosomal RNA is filed under the name uncultured bacterium. Its description in RNAcentral is "partial 16S ribosomal RNA". It matches the Rfam family "Bacterial small subunit ribosomal RNA", at positions 1288 to 1500 of the family's 1533-position model. The record is from RNAcentral.